GAUGAACGCUGGCGGCGUGCCUAAUACAUGCAAGUCGAGCGAACAGACGCGGAGCUUGCUCCUCUGACGUUAGCGGCGGACGGGUGAGUCACACGUGGAUACCCUCCCUAUAUGACUGGGAUAACUUCGGGACACCGGCGCUAAUCCCGGAUAAUCUCUUGCACCGCAUGGUUCAUUAGUGAAAGACGGCUUUGCUGUCACUUAUCGCUGGAUCCGCGCCGCAUUAGCUAGUUGGUACGGUCACGGCUUACCACGGCAACGAUGCGUAGCCGACCUGAGGGAGGGAUCGGCCACACUGGAGCUGGAACAGGGUCCAGGGUCCUGCGGGAGGCAGCAGAAUGGAAUCUGCCGCAAUAGGCGAGAGCCUGACGGAACAGCGCCGCGUGAGUGAUAAAGGUGUUCGGAGCGGAAAACUCUGUUAUGAGGGAAAAACAAAUGUGGAAGGAACUAUGCACGGCGUGACGGUACCGAAUCAGAAAGCCACGGCUAACUACGUG
This 497-nucleotide ribosomal RNA is filed under the name uncultured bacterium. Its description in RNAcentral is "partial 16S ribosomal RNA". It matches the Rfam family "Bacterial small subunit ribosomal RNA", at positions 28 to 507 of the family's 1533-position model. The record is from RNAcentral.